Molecule: ribosomal RNA, 540 nt
Filed under: uncultured bacterium
Lineage: Bacteria
Description: bacterial SSU rRNA
Rfam family: Bacterial small subunit ribosomal RNA
Source: RNAcentral
AAUAGAUACCCGGGUAGUCCACGCCGUAAACUAUGAGAACUAGAUGUUAGGUGGCUUAGACCAUCUGGUAUCGCAGCUAACGCGAUAAGUUCUCCGCCUGGGGAGUACGGCCGCAAGGUUAAAACUCAAAUGAAUUGACGGGGGCCCGCACAAGCGGUGGAGCAUGUGGUUUAAUUCGAUGCAACGCGAAGAACCUUACCUACCUUUGAAUCCACGGAAUCUCGCAGAGAUGUGAGAGUGCCUUCGGGAACCGUGAGACAGGUGCUGCAUGGCUGUCAUCAGCUCGUGUCGUGAGAUGUUGGGUUAAGUCCCGUAACGAGCGCAACCCUUGUCCUUAGUUACCAGCGAGUUAUGUCGGGGACUUUAAGGAGACUGCCGGUGAUAAACCGGAGGAAGUGGGAUGACGUCAAGUCCUCAUGGCCCUUACAGGUAGGGCUACACACGUGCUACAAUGGCCAGUACAAAGGGUUGCCAACCCGCGAGGGGAGCUAAUCUCAAAAAGCUGGUCGUAGUCCGGAUUGGAGUCUGCAACUCGACUCC